CAGUAAAGUGGCGCACGGGUGAGUAACGCGUGGAUAAUCUGCCUUCAAGUAGGGAAUAACAUUGCGAAAGCGAUGCUAAUACCGUAUAAGCUCACGAUUUGCUUAGUUGUGAGAAAAGAUGGCCUCUGUAUAUGCUAUCGCUUGAAGAUGAGUCCGCGUACCAUUAGCUUGUUGGUAGGGUAAUGGCCUACCAAGGCUUCGAUGGUUAGCUGGCCUGAGAGGGCGUUUUUUCACACUGGAACUGAGACACGGUCCAGACUCCUACGGGAGGCAGCAGUGGGGAAUAUUGCGCAAUGGGGGAAACCCUGACGCAGCGACGCCGUGUGAGUGAUGAAGGUUUUCGGAUCGUAAAGCUCUGUCGGGUGGAAAGAAUAAGGGCUGUGUAAAUAAUGCAGUCCGAUGACGGUACCACCAAAGGAAGCACCGGCUAACUCCGUG
RNAcentral lists this ribosomal RNA (438 nucleotides) under uncultured bacterium. RNAcentral describes it as "bacterial SSU rRNA". It matches the Rfam family "Bacterial small subunit ribosomal RNA", at positions 88 to 507 of the family's 1533-position model. The record is from RNAcentral.